GUCUGCGCGUUCGAGGUCAUCAGUGCGGCCGCCGGGACUGCUUCGACCAGCAGCUACUCGACCACCGCCUCUCCUCCUUUCCUUCGGUCGCGAUUCGCGAAUUCGUCUGUCGUUGCCACGAUUUCGUCCAAGAGUAGGCAGAUGAUAGCUGGAGGAGCUGCCGGUGGAAGCAAGAUAACAACAGGCGGCGCGAGUGCACAACGCGAGCCUGGGAGGAAGACGGUGCUGAUUUAGGAGCAGAGACAUCAAUCACAUGGUCGCUCAGCUCAAUGCACCUGCUGGUGUACAUUUCACAAUGGUGGCGCUGAUGGCCAACAGGAUGGAGAUGCAGACUCACUACAGGGUGCUGGAGAACUGAGACAUCGGCUCCAUCGAUUCCUCCGCAACUGAGAAUCUCUUCAUCAUAACUGCCAGUAUGUGGAUCGUGAUGUGUGCAGGCCAGAUUUAUUCCAUUUCUUCUUUCAAUGCAACCUUUUUUCAGAAGCUUUCAUUAAGGUAGAAAAUAAUAAUGUUGAAGGAGAUUCAGAUUAUUGGGCAAGUAGUAGCAAGUUGAGAAGAUAAAAUGUUGCAGGAUGGAUGACAUGGAUUCUUGGCUGAAUGAGAUGAUUCAAGCGCCUCCAUGAAAUGGAGCAGAAUAUGUGAGUAAUAACUUGCGGGAAGGACUGCCUACAGCUUUCAGAGUGAAAGUUAAGGUUUGUUAUGACUCACAAGUGAGAAAAAUUAACAAGUAGGAAUUUCUGGAAUAUGAGUCAAGUAAAUUGGAAUUUUGAUUUUAUGUUUGCAUUGUUUCUUUGUUAGGUUUUCUGAAAAGAACAUUUACAUUACUUAAUUCUACAUUGCUUGCUCAGAUGAAAUGUUUCCAUGGAACUUGAUUGUUAGCUAGCUGAGCUAAAACGAGCAUUGAUGAACUCCAUGGAUGGACAGUCAUGAAGAUAGAUGGAUUGGAGCCAGGAGGUCAUUCAAUACACAUCUGACUCUGUGGUGCAAGGCCGCAUAUGUCAUUGUGGAUGUCCCCUGUCAGAUAAGAAGCAAAAUGAUGUCAAAAUGUGGAAACCUUUUAGCAUAUAAUUCAGUUAUGGUGUUUCGCUUAACCUAAGGUCUGCAAUUUAAGCUGCUCACUUUUCUACAGAAAAUACGUAAAAUACCUUUGAUAUUUGGAUGAUGUUUGCAUCUGAGUUAGGAUUUUGCUGUUGCAGAUUUAGAUGGUCAUGACGUUAUGAAGAUUCAGAACGUGUGCCACAAGUCGAAAUGCUGAAGCUCCAAAGAAAAGAUGCUUUCAAUAUGAUAACCCCCAUCUAUGUUGACCUCUUUCAAAUGUUCAGAUCAUGUUCGUUUUACCAUUCCUGGUCUAGGUGUCGACGCCUAAGCGCAGCAGCAGAGCCAAGGUAGAUUAUUGGCUAUACACUCUGAAGUGCUGAUGAUGACCACCAAAACAGUGUAACAUCAGCAGCCAAACACGGCUGCUAAAACAGCAUCACUAGGAGACCACUAGGAAACACUGAACUACUGGUGCUCUCUACGCUGAAGCGGUUGCCUGCCUGAAAGCCAUCGAGUUUGCAGCCGAGGUAGCUAUGGGACAGAUAAUAAUUGAAACGGAUGCAUCCUUGAUAAAAUGGCCUCCCAAUCUUGUGAAUUUGGUUCAUCUCGGCAUGGAGUUUCUUCUCAGGGAUCCAAAAUUUCUGCUGCUCACCAACGUUUUUGCAUUAUAAAGUGUUCUACUGUAAGACUUUUUUUUUUAAUUCAGUGCCUCAUGUCUUAGCUACUAAUGGUGCUAGCUUAGUCUCGGGUGGUGGUAUGAUGUGGCAUGAUCAUGCACCAGAUAGUGUAUUUCAUAUUGUUGCUAGCGAACUACCUGCAACAGAUCAGUGAAGUCCACGGUUUUCUGUUAAAAAGAAGUCGGAACAGUUCUGUACAUAGCAAUGCUAUGUGCCGUACUAUUGCGAGUUCAGUAGCAAAUGUACCGCCUCUGUCUACCACUACCUAAAAUUAAAAUGUAUGCCCUCCACCAUGUAAUCCAUUGCAUACACAUAUGCUACUACU
Lolium rigidum is the source of this 2040-nucleotide long non-coding RNA. RefSeq lists it as uncharacterized. Lineage: Eukaryota; Viridiplantae; Streptophyta; Magnoliopsida; Poales; Poaceae. The transcript has 5 exons. The record is from RefSeq and is a predicted model, not a curated record.